UCUUUGUUAGAAGAUACAAAGCUAAAAACUCAUACGGACUUCGGCUAAGCCAUUCAUGUUUUGAGAAGCAAUAGGAAGCUUGGUUAUUUUUUUGGAGUCAAAUAUGACUGAUGUCAUGUGUAUGAUUGAGUAUAAGAAGUAGAACCGCAACCGAUUCCCAAAAGCUAAAGUAAUGUUUCCUUGUUUGAAGAUACAAAGUCAAAGACUCAUACGGACUUCGGCUACACCAUCAAAACUUUGUGAGGCAAUAAGAAGCUUCGUU
This 262-nucleotide small RNA is filed under the name Arabidopsis thaliana (thale cress). Its description in RNAcentral is "ATSL197490". The record is from RNAcentral. Lineage: Eukaryota; Viridiplantae; Streptophyta; Magnoliopsida; Brassicales; Brassicaceae.